GUGGGGAAUCUUGCGCAAUGGACGAAAGCCUGACGCAGCCAUGCCGCGUGAAUGAUGAAGGUCUUAGGAUUGUAAAAUUCUUUCACCGGGGACGAUAAUGACGGUACCCGGAGAAGAAGCCCCGGCUAACUUCGUGCCAGCAGCCGCGGUAAUACGAAGGGGGCUAGCGUUGCUCGGAAUUACUGGGCGUAAAGGGCGCGUAGGCGGACAGUUUAGUCAGAGGUGAAAGCCCAGGGCUCAACCUUGGAAUUGCCUUUGAUACUGGCUGUCUUGAGUACGGGAGAGGUGAGUGGAACUCCGAGUGUAGAGGUGAAAUUCGUAGAUAUUCGGAAGAACACCAGUGGCGAAGGCGACUCACUGGCCCGUUACUGACGCUGAGGCGCGAAAGCGUGGGGAGCAAACAGGAUUAGAAACCCUUGUAGUCC
This 425-nucleotide ribosomal RNA is filed under the name uncultured bacterium. RNAcentral's name for it is "partial 16S ribosomal RNA". It matches the Rfam family "Bacterial small subunit ribosomal RNA", at positions 354 to 796 of the family's 1533-position model. The record is from RNAcentral.